Molecule: transfer RNA, 85 nt
Filed under: Crocuta crocuta (spotted hyena)
Lineage: Eukaryota; Metazoa; Chordata; Mammalia; Carnivora; Hyaenidae
Also listed under: 3 other names
Rfam family: tRNA
About the family: Transfer RNA (tRNA) molecules are approximately 80 nucleotides in length. Their secondary structure includes four short double-helical elements and three loops (D, anti-codon, and T loops).
Source: Rfam by way of RNAcentral
GCCUGGGUGGCUCAGUCGGUUGAGCGUCCGACUUUGGCUCAGGUCAUGAUCUCACAGUUCGUGGGUUCGAGCCCCGCGUCGGGCU